UGAAUCUCUACUUACAUAGACUAUUUCUGUCAUCACCUUCUUGUUCUUACCUUUUUAAAUCAAUUGGCGCUGCAAUCAUCAUGAACACACCCAAGUCGGUUCUACUAGAUAUGAUAUCAAGAUAUUCUAAUGUGUGUGGAACUGACCGAGAUAUUUUAAUAAUGUCAGCAUUAAAUUAUUAAAAAGGCUGCAGAAUGAGAAGAAGGAAUCGGUGACAGAGGUGGUCUGUGUUGUUCAGUGAAGGAAAGUACGGGAAAAAGGGAGACCUGACCAGUUUUUAACAAUCUUCGUGGCUGGUGAAGUGGCGAUUCCUAAGUUUACGAGGUUUCCCGCAGACUUGAAUGCAUCCCCGGUAUGAGAGAGACGGGGAGCUUGGAGCAGCCGCUCACUCAGGGGAGUGCAGCGAGAUGAGACGGAUCAUGAGACGGAUCCUGCAGUUUGCAAUGAUUUUCGGGAUGAUUCUCCGUGUUAAUGGAAAAUCUGUGAGAGGGAUUAUGAGAGAUCCGGUUCAGUUCCCUGUAAACUGUCCGAUUAACUGGACAGCCGAGCUGUACCGGGAGGACGGGACUGGGAACCCGCCGCUUGUGGCUGCGCGUCGGAACGGAGUUUGCACAUCUGGUGAUGGAUUCACCGACCGGCUGGAUCUAAAGUCCUGCUUCAGCUUCCGUCGCUCACUGUACACAGAUGCCGGUCUGUAUGAAUUCAGAUGCGGGGGCGGCAGUGACCGCGUGCAGCUGGAUGUGGUUGUGGCUUCUGAAUUAUCAGUCAGUGAGGGAGAACAGGUGACGCUCAGGUGCUACUAUAAGACUGCAGGAGGACAGGUGGAGGCUCUGAGGUGGGACAAGAACGGAGUUAUUGUGCUGGAGGUGGAUCUGUCCACCGGAGAGAUUACAAACGGAACCGGGUUUGAGGGAAAGAGACUUUCACCGGCUGGUGCCGCAGAAGGAGACUUUUCUCUGACGUGGGAUCAGGCUCAGGUCCAGGAUGAGGGCGAUUACUUCUGCUCCGCCCGCAGUAAAGACUUCAGGAUGGGGUGGGGGGACCCUGCUGCUGCGAGGCUGAAGGUCAUCAAGAAACACCUGGACCCGACGACCCCCCGCCCACCUCUGAAUGGAACCACUGGAGAAAGGAUGGAGACUUGGACCACUGUCAUCAUUACAGCAGCUGUGACGUCUGUGCUUUGGGCUCUUUGCUGCUCUUUAGUUUGGAGGCUGAAGUUCCGCACACCAGAUGUGUCACCUGGACCUGAUGGUGGAGAACUGGACCUGGGACUUCUGACCAAUGGGAAUCCUGCUGGGCCUCAAACCAACGGGGGUUCUCGCAUCUAGAAUUUGACUCAAAAAAUCAAAAAUCAAGUUCAAUCAACAGCCAACACUUAAAUCCAUCAAGUAAAGACUGCAUUUUGAUGCAUGUUCAUCAAAUUAGACACUUCCUUCAGAAACAAUAUCCCAGUUUUCAAAUUUGUCUCAGAAAACAGACCUCAUCUAUCUACGACUCCACAGACUCUGUCAGCACAGUUUUCCCCAUCAGACUAAAGAACCAUCGGGGAGGAUUGGCUCGAUCAAGCAUGGGGCAACAUGCUUGAUGGAGUCUCUUCUUCGGUACUCCACAGUUCACGAUGUCCGUAAUUGAUGUGGCCAGGCCCCUGUAAACCUUGUACAUGUGUAGACUAUCUGACACAUUCCAAAGAGAUUAUGAUGUGAUAACAACUCCAAGUCUGUCAUUUUGGUAUCCUAGCCCACAACUGUUUUGUCUCUUAUUUCUUUGACGUUGUUUUAAUGUAUCUUGACAUGUAUCCUCUCCAUUCGCUCGACGCACUCGAACCCCCUUCCUGUUCCCUCACGCAAAGCACUCGAACCCCCUUCCUGUUCCCUCACGCAAAGCACUCGAACCCCCUUCCUGUUCCCUCACGCAAAGCACUCGAACCCCCUUCCUGUUCCCCCACGCAAAGCACUCGUACCCCCUUCCCGACCAUUCGCACAAAGCUCUCUAACCUCCUUUCCCGUUCCCUCAGACAAAGCGCUUGUACCCCUUUUUCCGCUCCCUCGCGCAUAGAACUUGUACCCCCUUCCUGUCCAUUCGCACAAAGCUCUCCAACCCCCUUUUACGUCCGUUCACACAACGCCCUCAAACCUCCUUUCCCGUUCCCUCACACAAAGCGCUCGUACCCCCUCCCGUUCCCUGGUGCAAAGCACUCGUACCCCCUUUUCCGUACAUUUGCGCAAUGUCCUCGCACCCCCUUUUCCGCCUGUUUGCGCAAUGCCCUUGAACCGUCAGGCAUCCGUCAACAUCGUAAAAAUAACCAGCUCCAUUGAUUGCGUCCAUACGAUCCUUCAAAUCAGAUCAUCCACCAUCCAAGUAUAAUCCUCCAGGCAUUUUUCGGCCUCCUGCAAUGCCAGGAAUUCACUUCCACAGCAUCCAGUCUCGACCCCUCUCAACACGCUACCCUCUCGGACACUCCAUCCACUCGCAAGACAUCCUCUGAUUGAGCCCCAAACUGAACAAGAUCGACCGGUUUGGCCUCUCUCAUCCCAUAUACCUCUUCCGACUGAACUUGUACCUAAGCCCUAACAAAACCUAUCCUGCCAUACUUACACUGGAGACAUGUCCUCGUUGCGGUCCUUCCAAACCUACAAACAGCUACACCCACAGCCACAUCUUCGUGUAAUCAAGUAAUACUUUUGAGGUAUGAUGAAGCCACGCAGACCAAGAGUGCCCCCUUCAAGACGUACCCCCAUUCUGAGUCUCAACCUCUCUGGUUCCUAGGUGGUCUAGCCAAUUUGCACCCCACUCAAACCCCCUCUUCAUCCACCGACCUCGACCCCUCCUUUUCUUAAUCCACCUACCUCGACCCCCCUUUCGUAUCCUUUCCAAAAUCUUCUACCAAUUUAAAUAAACUACCUUAAUGUUAAAUUGUGGUGUGGUCUAUGUGUGGUGACUCAUGAGUCUGCAUCAGGGAACGUGUCUUUACAACACUGCAGGUGUUUGUUUCUGUUAGUUCACCACUUGUAGAGUUCAGCUCAGUGAUCAUCCCACACAGACACAAGCUGCUGGAAGAGAACACCACCUGUUUCAUGUUCAUGGUGUUGUUUCACUGCAGGAUGGCAGAUUUUACAAUCCACCGGCCUUCAGUAGUGAAAGCUGAGAGGAGGAACGCUUCUGUAACAAUUAGCCUGUGAAUACAAAACGCUGCAGGCGUGUGUCUGCCAUUAUUUACACAUGUUAUAUUGUGUCUGGGAUCACUAGUGACAGGGUUAACUUAAGGCGAGACAGCAAGGGUGAAUCUUGACACCAUAACUCUGAAACGAUCACAGAUAAAGACUUGAAGUUGAAGUUAUGCCCAAAAAACAACAAAAGUAGUUGUCAGCAGUGUUCACCUGCUGAAGCUAACAGGUGUGUCUGUACGCAGUGUAUAUGUGACACACAAUAGACUUGACAUUUCGAUUUCCAGCAGGAGAUUGAGAGACUUUACUGCUCCUUCUCCUUAUUGUCUUGGUGCAUAAUUCCUCUGGAAAACAUGUUUUUUGUGUCUUCUUAUUGCAUCACUGUCAAUGGAAUGCUGCACUGCAACAUCUAUGAAUGAAUAAAUAUUACUGUCACAUUUCCUGCUGGCCGGGAAACACCUUUUAUCAGCUGAAUGAAUCAGACCGAGGAAAUACCCAGUUCAAUAAAACAAUAAAAAAAUCGAUUGAAAUAAAAAAGA
This 3703-nucleotide long non-coding RNA is filed under the name Sparus aurata (gilthead seabream). RNAcentral's name for it is "lncRNA (ENSSAUG00010010915.1)". The record is from RNAcentral. Lineage: Eukaryota; Metazoa; Chordata; Actinopteri; Spariformes; Sparidae.